GGAAGGGCGACCGACCGUGGGGAGGAAGCGUGGAGCGAAACUGCGGGCCGAUGAACAAGAAUCGGAUAGAAGGCGCUGCCGAGCAGGGCGAGCGGGCAAGAAGCCGCGAAGCUCUUGUG
Non-coding RNA from Candidatus Burkholderia verschuerenii, 119 nucleotides. The record is from Rfam. NCBI's taxonomy places the organism in Bacteria, Pseudomonadati, Pseudomonadota, Betaproteobacteria, Burkholderiales, Burkholderiaceae.